RNAcentral lists this ribosomal RNA (511 nucleotides) under uncultured bacterium. RNAcentral's name for it is "partial 16S ribosomal RNA". It matches the Rfam family "Bacterial small subunit ribosomal RNA", at positions 28 to 523 of the family's 1533-position model. The record is from RNAcentral.
GACGAACGCUGGCGGCGUGCCUAAUACAUGCAAGUCGAGCGAUGAAGGAGAUACUUGUAUCUUUUGAAGAGCGGAGUACGGGUGAGUAACGCGUGGGGAAUCUGCCAAUGAGUGGGGGACAACAUUUGGAAACGAAUGCUAAUACCGCAUAAAAUCUAUUGAGACAUCUCAAGAGAUUGAAAGGAACAAUUGUUUCGCUCGUUGAUGAUCCCGCGUUGUAUUAGCUAGUUGGUUAGGUAAGGGCUAACCAAGGCGAUGAUACAUAGCCGACCUGAGAGGGUGAUCGGCCACAUUGUGACUGAGACACGGCCCAAACUCCUACGGGAGGCAGCAGUAGGGAAUCUUCGGCAAAGGACGAAAGUCUGACCGAGCAACGCCGCGUGAGUGAAGAAGGUUUUCGGAUCGUAAAGCUCUGUUGUUGUUAAAGAACGUUGAUGAGAGUGGAAAGUUCAUCAAGUGACGGUAAACAACCAGAAAGGGACGGCUAACUACGUGCCAGCCGCCGCCGUAA